RNAcentral lists this transfer RNA (66 nucleotides) under Rexea nakamurai (Nakamura's escolar). RNAcentral describes it as "tRNA-Cys". The record is from RNAcentral. Lineage: Eukaryota; Metazoa; Chordata; Actinopteri; Scombriformes; Gempylidae.
AGUCCUGAGGUGUUUGUCACGUAAGAAUGCAAAUCUUAAGGAGCAGACUAACGUCUGCCGGGGCUU